CUACAAGUCUGUUAUAUUUGGACGGACAUUGUCGAGCGUACCGUCGUCGCAACAGCACGCGCACUGUAUAUUUACGAGAAAAGAAAACGGCCAAUCGUUAAAUACAUCGCCGCAAAUAUUAUAUCGUGCUGUAAAAUAUCAUAUUAUCGUUGUAAACUGUACUCGAGCGGCUUAUCGAAUUCACGUCCAACAUGUUUAACUUGGGAGGAGCGAUGAAAAAUAUUUCAGCAAAGGCUGAAGGAUUAGUAGAGGAAAAGAAACAUGCCGCAACUGCACUUCUUGAAAAACAAGUCAAAGAAACCGGUGAGUUCUUAUCUAACACGCUCAACGAGGCAGAAGGCAAAGCUGUGAGUGCCGCAGAAGAGGCGAAAAAUGCAGCUGUGGACGGCUUUGACCAGGAGGUCGAGAAACUUGCUGAUAGUGCCUUACAGGAGACUUCUAAACACGAUAUUGGUGGUGGUGGUUUAUUAGGUGGAAUUAAGAACUCAAUUGGUCAUGUUGCUAGUAAAGUGGAGAAUAAUAUCGAAGGUUCGGUGCACAAAUUAGAAGGCGCCGCAAGUGCGGUAACCCAUAAAUUAGACGAUUCGGUUGUCGGUAAGGUAGCGCAUUCGGUAGGUGAUAAGGCCCACCAGGUGACCGAUAAAGUCCACGAAACGGCCGGUGGCAUGAAAAGUACUGUGAAGGGAGUCGCCAAUACGGUGAAAGGAGUCUCCAGUAUGAUUCAAAGCACCACCAACGGAAUGGAGACACCCGCCGCCCCGCCGGCGCCCGCACCCGUGGCCGCGGCUCCGGAACAGCAGUCGACCGUCAACCAGGUGGCGUCCGAGGCCAAGACGCUGGUGGACAAGACCGCCGCCGAGCUGAAACCGGCCCUCGACCAGGCGGUGCACGACAAGAUCAACCCGUUGGCGCAGGACUUGGCCAAGAAGCUGCAGCCGAUCGCGGGCGACGUGUCCGCUCACGUCAACACGGCGCUGGCCGAGGGCGUCAAGCAGUUGAACCCGAUCGUCGACCAAGUGUCGACGUCGGCCAAGGGGUUCGUCGACGAUGCCGCUAAACAGGUGAGCACCGUGGUGGACGACAAGCUCAAGGAGGCCGACCAGUUGUUCAGCGAGAAGCGCGACGCUCUCGGGGAACCGGCCAAGAGCAUGAUGUCAAAGGCCAAGGGAUUGUUCGGCUGUAAGUUAGGUUGCUGUACUAUCAUGUAGGAAAAAAAAUUCUCACACAAAACCCGUGUACGCACAGUCCACACACACUGUCGAUGUAUAUUGCCAGAAUCAAUCAACUACUAAUCACUACAUAUUAUAUGCGUAUAGUGGGAGUAGCGAGUUGGCUAUACAACUGCUAUAGCGUGCUAACUGCUAAAUCAUUUUAAUUUUACUCAUAUUUCAUGAUACCUGCAUAAUAUUCCACAUCUAUACCUACUACUUAUGAUAAACUUUAAGUGGCACAAGCGUUUAAUGUAAUGAUUGUAUCUUUUUUUUCCCUUGACUUUAUGUUACUCGGAAAUCGUAGUCAUUUUAAGGUGCACUCUUGUUUUUCAAUAUUAAUUUUUUUUUACGUCCCAUACGCGACGACUUAUUUUAUAUUAUCGUAAUUAUUAUUAUUAUUAUUAUUAUUAUUAUUAUAUACCUUUUACUAUUAAUUUUUUUUUGUUUUUACGCAUCCUUUUUUAUAUAUCUAGUCGUUCACGGUGUAAUUUACAUUCAUAAAAAAAAUUCAAGUAACCCAUAUCGUAUUUUACAAUUUCUUACAGCUCACGGAUAAAUGCGACGGUGACAAUGUACCGAAACGUCAAUAUUGUAUAAUAAUUCAUAACAUAAUGUUUAAUAAUGUAUAAUAGACACAACUAUAAUAUCGGUCGAGUACACUGAUAAUAAACGAUAUGAUAAUAUUAUUAUUAGCACAAUCGUCCACAGACAUUAUUGUUGUGAUAUUUUUGUUUACUUAAAAUCAUUAUUUGGUAUAAUAUACGAUUAACACGCUUGCUAUUUUUUACAUGAAAUCAUAUA
Myzus persicae (green peach aphid) is the source of this 2012-nucleotide RNA transcript. RefSeq lists it as uncharacterized. The transcript has 8 exons. The record is from RefSeq and is a predicted model, not a curated record. Lineage: Eukaryota; Metazoa; Arthropoda; Insecta; Hemiptera; Aphididae.